CACUGGAUUCAGAAGGAAAUAUUUCAUUUCAGGAAAUAUUUAAAUAAACCCAAGAGGGGGUGGGAUGGCUGAACCCCACAGAGAGAGAAAAAGAGUUUACUGGGGGCCUGCUGUGGGAACAGCAUCCCAGAUGGAUGGCAGGGCACAUGCAAAGGCCCUGAGGUGAGAACAAGCUGGUCACGUUUAGGGAACAUGGUGAAAGCGUUAGUUGCUCAGUUUUCUAAGACUCUGCCACACCCCUGGACUGUAGCCCACCAGGCUCCUCUGUCCAUGAAAUUCUCCAGGCAAGAAUACUGGAGUGGGUUGCCAUUUCCUACUCCAGGGGAUCUUUCUGACCCAAGCAUCAAACCCAGGUGUCCUGCACUGCAGGAAGAAUUGUUUAUUGUCUGAGUCACCAGGGAAGACCAUAGAGAUCAUGGAGGUGCUAAAGCUGUUGAGGGAGGGAAAGGAGGGUAGGGAGGUUGACUGUAUAGGUGGGGCUUCAGAGAGGAGGAUAGCAGCUUUGGUUUUGUUGAGAAGGUGCAGGGAAGCCAUGAGAGGGUUAUAGCAAAGGAGCACAGGCUCUGGGCUCCCGCUGUGGAGGAUGGGGGCUCCUUAGGGUAGUACCAGGUCCAGGGCCCCUUGGGAACUUACCACUGCUUGGCAAAAGUGGGCACUGAUCCUGAGCCACAGUCCUGGAAGGGGAAGUGGGGCCACCGUCCCCAGUCACCUCCUGGGCUGGGCCAAGGCCUGGUGUGAAUCACUGCUGGCUGGGUCCCGGCUGACACACACUUUGGCCUCAGCUCAGCAAAGUCCUGCCAAAGCCACACAGCCUGGCCCACAGGCCUCUGGCUGGCCUCCCUGGGGAGCCUGCAGGGUGUGGGGACAUGGAAGCAAGAGGCCUUCGGGGAUGCUCAGCCUUCCUCUCCAAAGACCCUGUCUUUUCCACACUGUGGGUGAGGUUCUGGGCAAAACCAGGGACAUGGCAGUUGGACUAAACUUCGGUCUUUUGUUUCAGCAGUCACCAGGAUAGCUCCUAUCCAGGCCCUAAGACAGCCAAACACAAAUCCAGGGUGACCACGGCAAUAAUAGUAGAAGCACAGAGCACCGAUGGAGCCCCAUAAGGGCACCUGCAGCAGAGGCUGAAAGGUGGAGAUGAGCUGUGUGGCUGAGGGGAAGAAGUGUAUCAGGCCAGCAGCUGUGCAAAGGCCCUGAGGCCAGAAGGAAAGGGAAGUUAGUUUGGGGGGUGGAGCCUGUAAAGAGACACCUGCCCAGGGCCAAGUGCAGUCAAAGCCUUUUUUCCAGAAAAGUUUCAAGGAGGGGUCAGAUCUGUGGUUUCCAAAAAGUCCUUCAGGGCACAGGCUAGUGAAAAGACUGGGCUUCCACCGAGCCCCGAGGUCCUUCGAGGGAGGUCAAAGGCCCCCAUGCUGCCGUUUAGCAGGAAGGUGUAAGACACUCUUGAUCCUUUUUGGCUGUGCAGGGUCUUCGUUGCAGCAUGCAAACUUUUAGUUCUCACAUGUGGGAUCUAGCUCCCUGCCCUCUGAGCAUGGAGUCUUUAUCCACUGGACCACCAGAUAAGUCCCAAGAAACAUCUGAUCUUUGUCCUUGGUUUUUAGCACACAGCUUCUAAAACUUGGUGAACUCUGGAGUGAUGUGUUUUGUAUGCUAAUAACAAAAGCAGUGGCCCAAGGCACUCAAAUAGCUUCAGAAUGGGGGCUGUUCUCCAAAAAGACCAAGGUAUGACCCUGCUGUGUGAAGUCAUUUAGUGCUCUACACUUUGCAACCUCGUGGAAGAACCCACUGGCUCUCUGUCCACGGGAUUCUUCAGGCAAGAAUACUGGAAUGGGUUGCCAUUCCUACUCCAGGGAAGGCGUGAUUAGGUGGUUGUAAAUUUCAGCCCCCACUUCCCAGACCUCGGGGGAGGGGAGAUGGCUGGAGUUUUUGAGUUAAUCUUCCCAAAAUGCCAGUG
Bos indicus x Bos taurus (hybrid cattle) is the source of this 1948-nucleotide long non-coding RNA. Lineage: Eukaryota; Metazoa; Chordata; Mammalia; Artiodactyla; Bovidae. The record is from Ensembl.